RNAcentral lists this ribosomal RNA (693 nucleotides) under Escherichia coli. Its description in RNAcentral is "partial 23S ribosomal RNA". It matches the Rfam family "Bacterial large subunit ribosomal RNA", at positions 2251 to 2925 of the family's 2925-position model. Lineage: Bacteria; Pseudomonadati; Pseudomonadota; Gammaproteobacteria; Enterobacterales; Enterobacteriaceae. The record is from RNAcentral.
ACAGUGUCUGGUGGGUAGUUUGACUGGGGCGGUCUCCUCCUAAAGAGUAACGGAGGAGCACGAAGGUUGGCUAAUCCUGGUCGGACAUCAGGAGGUUAGUGCAAUGGCAUAAGCCAGCUUGACUGCGAGCGUGACGGCGCGAGCAGGUGCGAAAGCAGGUCAUAGUGAUCCGGUGGUUCUGAAUGGAAGGGCCAUCGCUCAACGGAUAAAAGGUACUCCGGGGAUAACAGGCUGAUACCGCCCAAGAGUUCAUAUCGACGGCGGUGUUUGGCACCUCGAUGUCGGCUCAUCACAUCCUGGGGCUGAAGUAGGUCCCAAGGGUAUGGCUGUUCGCCAUUUAAAGUGGUACGCGAGCUGGGUUUAGAACGUCGUGAGACAGUUCGGUCCCUAUCUGCCGUGGGCGCUGGAGAACUGAGGGGGGCUGCUCCUAGUACGAGAGGACCGGAGUGGACGCAUCACUGGUGUUCGGGUUGUCAUGCCAAUGGCACUGCCCGGUAGCUAAAUGCGGAAGAGAUAAGUGCUGAAAGCAUCUAAGCACGAAACUUGCCCCGAGAUGAGUUCUCCCUGACUCCUUGAGAGUCCUGAAGGAACGUUGAAGACGACGACGUUGAUAGGCCGGAUGUGUAAGCGCAGCGAUGCGUUGAGCUAACCGGUACUAAUGAACCGUGAGGCUUAACCUUACAACGCCGAAGG